This 616-nucleotide ribosomal RNA is filed under the name uncultured bacterium. RNAcentral's name for it is "bacterial SSU rRNA". It matches the Rfam family "Bacterial small subunit ribosomal RNA", at positions 338 to 945 of the family's 1533-position model. The record is from RNAcentral.
CCUACGGGAGGCAGCAGUGGGGAAUAUUGCGCAAUGGGGGAAACCCUGACGCAGCAACGCCGCGUGAGUGAGGAAGGACUUCGGUCUGUAAAGCUCUGUUAAUGUGGAAAAAUGGUAGUUGGUCUAAUAGGCCGAUUAUUUGAUGGUACACAUAGAGGAAGCACCGGCUAACUUCGUGCCAGCAGCCGCGGUAAUACGAAGGGUGCAAGCGUUGUUCGGAUUUAUUGGGCGUAAAGCGCGCGUAGGCGGACCUGUAAGUCAGAUGUGAAAUCUCGGGGCUCAACCUCGAAACUGCGUCUGAAACUGCAGGUCUAGAAUCUCGGAGGGGGAAGGGGAAUUUCGCAUGUAGGGGUAAAAUCCGUAGAUAUGCGAAGGAACACCAGAGGCGAAGGCGCCUUCCUGGACGAGUAUUGACGCUGAGGCGCGAAAGCGUGGGGAUCAAACAGGAUUAGAUACCCUGGUAGUCCACGCUGUAAACUAUGAACACUAGGUAUUGGAGGAUUUGACCCCUUCAGUGCCGUAGCUAACGCGUUAAGUGUUCCGCCUGGGAAGUCGGUCGCAAGACUAAACUUAAAUUGAAUUGAGGCUUGNGNGNGCGAGCGACGACGAGGAGAGG